AAACGAUGUCGACUAGCCGUUGGGAUCCUUGAGAUCUUAGUGGCGCAGCUAACGCGAUAAGUCGACCGCCUGGGGAGUACGGCCGCAAGGUUAAAACUCAAAUGAAUUGACGGGGGCCCGCACAAGCGGUGGAGCAUGUGGUUUAAUUCGAAGCAACGCGAAGAACCUUACCUGGCCUUGA
Molecule: ribosomal RNA, 181 nt
Filed under: uncultured soil bacterium
Lineage: Bacteria
Description: partial 16S ribosomal RNA
Rfam family: Bacterial small subunit ribosomal RNA
Source: RNAcentral